UGAGGAAUAUUGGUCAAUGGGCGGCAGCCUGAACCAGCCAUCCCGCGUGAAGGAAGAAUGCGCUAUGCGUUGUAAACUUCUUUUCCAGGAGAAUAAAAUGCCAUACGUGUAUGGUACUGAAGGUAUCCUGGGAAUAAGCAUCGGCUAACUCCGUGCCAGCAGCCGCGGUAAUACGGAGGAUGCGAGCGUUAUCCGGAUUUAUUGGGUUUAAAGGGUGCGUAGGCGGGAUUAUAAGUCAGUGGUGAAAACCUGCAGCUUAACUGUAGACUUGCCAUUGAUACUGUAGUUCUUGAGUGUGGUCAAGGCAGGCGGAAUGUGUAAUGUAGCGGUGAAAUGCUUAGAUAUUACACAGAACACCGAUUGCGAAGGCAGCUUGCUGGGCCAAUACUGACGCUGAGGC
Molecule: ribosomal RNA, 400 nt
Filed under: uncultured bacterium
Lineage: Bacteria
Description: bacterial SSU rRNA
Rfam family: Bacterial small subunit ribosomal RNA
Source: RNAcentral